UACGGAGGGUGCGAGCGUUGUUCGGAAGUACUGGGCGUAAAGGGCGCGUAGGCGGCCUUCUAAGUCGAACGUGAAAUCCCCAGGCUCAACCUGGGAACUGCGUCCGAUACUGGCAGGCUUGAAUCCGGGAGAGGGAUGUGGAAUUCCAGGUGUAGCGGUGAAAUGCGUAGAUAUCUGGAGGAACACCGGUGGCGAAGGCGGCAUCCUGGACCGGUAUUGACGCUGAGGCGCGAAAGCUAGGGGAGCAAACGGG
Molecule: ribosomal RNA, 253 nt
Filed under: uncultured bacterium
Lineage: Bacteria
Description: partial 16S ribosomal RNA
Rfam family: Bacterial small subunit ribosomal RNA
Source: RNAcentral